CCCGGGGCAUUGGUGGAGGCAACCCAGCCUCCUUCCGCUCCGAGGUAGCUCCAGAAAUUCUUAGCGGCCAUCGGCCUCUCCGUCACCAGCACCAGCUCCUUCUCCAACUGGUAACAGUCCAGCAGGGAUACGUAUGGCGACGUCCCCUCUGAUUCGGCCGACAGCUUCAACAUGAUGGCGACCUCUACGGGGGUCGUGUUCCCUUCGUUGUCCUGUAACGCCGCGCCAGAGCGGCGACCUUCCUCUUGUCACCUCUCUUGCCAACAACCUCCACAGAGGUGUUGCAGCUUCCUACAAACGAGCAAAAAGACCCCGACGUGAACAGAACACCCCUCAAACCAAACCACAAAACCGUCUUCUGCUCGGCUGAAUCAUUUCUAGCAGAUCCUCAAAAAAAGAACGCUGGCUCAAUAAUUGAAAAAUUCCCCAACAACUCUGCAGAAUAAUAGUUAUAAAUUUCACGUGUGCCCCCUUGAUUAACAAUUUAACUAAUAAAUAAUAAUAACUUCACAUACGUGUCUUCUAUCGCCCAACAUCGUAGGUUAGUUGGUUUCUAUUUUAACACGCUCGGAUUACACUGACGGGAUGAGUUUUGUUAUGUUACUGUGGUCUCAGGUUUUAACAAAUAAGUCAAAUAAAUUAGGAAACAAUGGUUAAUUUGUCUGACUUAUUUGAUGGUUGAUGUAAGUUGAUGUACUUGACCGAAAAUUUAGUUGUGUUUGUGAUUUUUAAAGUUGAAAUAGGGUAUUUUCAGGUUGUCAGCUUACUGGUGUUGUGGAUCAUAAUGUUGAUUUCAGUUUGCUGUCUAUAUCAUGUUGAUCAAAACAUUCCUGUCAUCCACCAACCAAGAUCUUUGCCACUGUGAUAAGAUGUGAGCUUUACAUGUUUUAGGUUUACUUUUGAUGCCAAUAUUUCAUGUUUACUUGGAAUAAAUAAAA
Long non-coding RNA from Gasterosteus aculeatus aculeatus (three-spined stickleback), 938 nucleotides. The record is from Ensembl. Lineage: Eukaryota; Metazoa; Chordata; Actinopteri; Perciformes; Gasterosteidae.